GUCCUUGUAGUUCAAUGGAUAGAACGAGGGGUUCCUAAUCCCUAAAUGCAGGUUCGAUUCCUGCCGAGGACA
Molecule: transfer RNA, 72 nt
Filed under: bacterium
Lineage: Bacteria
Description: tRNA-Arg
Rfam family: tRNA
About the family: Transfer RNA (tRNA) molecules are approximately 80 nucleotides in length. Their secondary structure includes four short double-helical elements and three loops (D, anti-codon, and T loops).
Source: RNAcentral